RNAcentral lists this ribosomal RNA (465 nucleotides) under uncultured bacterium. RNAcentral's name for it is "partial 16S ribosomal RNA". It matches the Rfam family "Bacterial small subunit ribosomal RNA", at positions 28 to 507 of the family's 1533-position model. The record is from RNAcentral.
GAUGAACGCUGGCGGCGUGCUUAACACAUGCAAGUCGAACGGAAAGGCCCAAGCUUGCUUGGGUACUCGAGUGGCGAACGGGUGAGUAACACGUGGGUGAUCUGCCCUGCACUUCGGGAUAAGCCUGGGAAACUGGGUCUAAUACCGGAUAGGACCACAUUUUGGAUGGUGUGGUGGAAAAUUUUUCGGUGUGGGAUGAGCUCGCGGCCUAUCAGCUUGUUGGUGGGGUAAUGGCCUACCAAGGCGUCGACGGGUAGCCGGCCUGAGAGGGUGUACGGCCACAUUGGGACUGAGAUACGGCCCAGACUCCUACGGGAGGCAGCAGUGGGGAAUAUUGCACAAUGGGCGCAAGCCUGAUGCAGCGACGCCGCGUGGGGGAUGACGGCCUUCGGGUUGUAAACUCCUUUCGCUAGGGACGAAGCGCAAGUGACGGUACCUGGAGAAGAAGCACCGGCUAACUACGUG